Molecule: ribosomal RNA, 301 nt
Filed under: uncultured bacterium
Lineage: Bacteria
Description: partial 16S ribosomal RNA
Rfam family: Bacterial small subunit ribosomal RNA
Source: RNAcentral
CAGUCGCCGCGGUAAUACAGAGGGUGCGAGCGUUAAUCGGAUUUACUGGGCGUAAAGCGUGCGUAGGCGGUUUGUUAAGUCUGCUGUGAAAUCCCCGGGCUCAACCUGGGAAUGGCAGUGGAUACUGGCAAGCUAGAGUGUGUCAGAGGAUGGUGGAAUUCCCGGUGUAGCGGUGAAAUGCGUAGAGAUCGGGAGGAACAUCAGUGGCGAAGGCGGCCAUCUGGGACAACACUGACGCUGAGGCACGAAAGCGUGGGGAGCAAACAGGAUUAGAUACCCCUGUAGUCCCUGUCUCUUAUAC